Non-coding RNA from Ameiurus melas (black bullhead), 75 nucleotides. Lineage: Eukaryota; Metazoa; Chordata; Actinopteri; Siluriformes; Ictaluridae. The record is from the annotation of a GenBank genome assembly.
GGCGAACUGUGGCUUAGUGGUUAUCAUGUUCGCCUCACACCUCCAGGGUCGGGGGUUCAAUACCCACCGUGGCCC